GUCAUUAUGGCCAAAUGGUCUAAGGCGCUGCGUUCAGGUCGCAGUCCACUUGUUUGGGUGUGGGUUCCAAUCCCACUUCUGACA
Molecule: transfer RNA, 84 nt
Filed under: Trichonephila inaurata madagascariensis
Lineage: Eukaryota; Metazoa; Arthropoda; Arachnida; Araneae; Nephilidae
Rfam family: tRNA
About the family: Transfer RNA (tRNA) molecules are approximately 80 nucleotides in length.
Source: Rfam by way of RNAcentral